CCUACGGGGGGCUGCAGUGGGGAAUCUUAGACAAUGGGCGCAAGCCUGAUCUAGCCAUGCCGCGUGAGUGAUGAAGGCCUUAGGGUCGUAAAGCUCUUUCGCCUGUGAAGAUAAUGACUGUAGCAGGUAAAGAAACCCCGGCUAACUCCGUGCCAGCAGCCGCGGUAAUACGGAGGGUGCGAGCGUUAAUCGGAAUUACUGGGCGUAAAGCGCAUGCAGGUGGUUCGUUAAGUCAGAUGUGAAAGCCCGGGGCUCAACCUCGGAACUGCCAUUGAAACUGAAGAACUUGAAUAUGGUUGAGGUAGGCGGAAUACGUUAUGUAGCGGUGAAAUGCAUAGAUAUAACGUAGAACACCAAUUGCGAAGGCAGCUUACUAAGUACUAACUGACGCUGAUGGACGAAAGCGUGGGUAGCGAACAGGAUUAGAUACCCUUGUAGUC
Molecule: ribosomal RNA, 440 nt
Filed under: uncultured bacterium
Lineage: Bacteria
Description: bacterial SSU rRNA
Rfam family: Bacterial small subunit ribosomal RNA
Source: RNAcentral